CCAUGCAGUCGAACGGGAGUUUCUUCGGAACUUAGUGGCGGACGGGUGAGUAANACGNUGAAGAACCUACCUUCAGAAUGGGGACAACAGUUGGAAACGACUGCUAAUACCCAAUGUGCCGAAAGGUGAAAGAUUUAUCGUCUGAAGAUGGGCUCGCGUCUGAUUAGCUAGAUGGUGGGGUAAGAGCCUACCAUGGCAACGAUCAGUAGCUGGUCUGAGAGGAUGAGCAGCCACACUGGGACUGAGACACGGCCCAGACUCCUACGGGAGGCAGCAGUGGGGAAUUUUCCGCAAUGGGCGAAAGCCUGACGGAGCAAUACCGCGUGAGGGAGGAAGGUCCUUGGAUUGUAAACCUCUUUUAUCAGGGAAGAAGUUCUGACGGUACCUGAUGAAUAAGCAUCGGCUAACUCCGUGCCAGCAGCCGCGGUAAUACGGAGGAUGCAAGCGUUAUCCGGAAUUAUUGGGCGUAAAGCGUCCGUAGGUGGUUAUGCAAGUCUGCCGUUAAAGAAUGGAGCUUAACUCCAUAAGAGCGGUGGAAACUGCAAGACUAGAGUACAGUAGGGGUAGCAGGAAUUCCCAGUGUAGCGGUGAAAUGCGUAGAUAUUGGGAAGAACAUCGGUGGCGAAAGCGUGCUACUGGGCUGAAACUGACACUGAGGGACGAAAGCUAGGGUAGCGAAAGGGAUUAGAUACCCCUGUAGUCCUAGCCGUAAACGAUGGAUACUAGGCGUGGCUUGUAUCGACCCGAGCCGUGCCGAAGCUAACGCGUUAAGUAUCCCGCCUGGGGAGUACGCACGCAAGUGUGAAACUCAAAGGAAUUGACGGGGGCCCGCACAAGCGGUGGAGUAUGUGGUUUAAUUCGAUGCAACGCGAANAACCUUACCAAGGCUUGACAUCCCUGGAAUCCUGUGGAAACGCGGGAGUGCCUUAGGGAGCCAGG
RNAcentral lists this ribosomal RNA (939 nucleotides) under uncultured cyanobacterium. RNAcentral describes it as "bacterial SSU rRNA". It matches the Rfam family "Bacterial small subunit ribosomal RNA", at positions 53 to 1031 of the family's 1533-position model. Lineage: Bacteria; Bacillati; Cyanobacteriota. The record is from RNAcentral.